Molecule: non-coding RNA, 48 nt
Organism: Schistosoma mattheei
Lineage: Eukaryota; Metazoa; Platyhelminthes; Trematoda; Strigeidida; Schistosomatidae
Source: Rfam
AUUCAGUUGACAAGUCCCACAUAGGACGAAACACGCGUCAAACUGGAU